RNAcentral lists this long non-coding RNA (274 nucleotides) under Mytilus galloprovincialis (Mediterranean mussel). The record is from RNAcentral. Lineage: Eukaryota; Metazoa; Mollusca; Bivalvia; Mytilida; Mytilidae.
GUUUUGGUCUGUUUUUCUCAUACUUUAUGCAAUAGGUUUACUAUAUUUGUUGUAUGGAAUGAUUGUAAGGUGUACAUGUCUAGCGGGCAGAUGUCAUCUGACCUUGACCUCAUUUUCAUGGUUCAGUGGUUAUAGUUAAGUUUUUGUGUUUUGGUCUGUUUUUCUCAUACUUUAUGCAAUAGGUUUACUAUAUUUGUUGUAUGGAAUGAUUGUAAGGUGUACAUGUCUAGCAGGCAGAUGUCAUCUGACCUUGACCUCAUUUUCAUGGUUCAGU